GCGGUUGCAGGGAUUGUGAGUGUCGGGAUGCUCAGGUGACUUGUUAUCUGCACUCCUGCCCCACCUGCCCGCCAGGGACCCUGGUCAUCACCCAGGAGGGCCGAUGCUGCCCCGAGUGUCGCCAAGUCCAGUGCCACGCACACUGCCUGUCGUGCUCGGGGACUGCGGAUCAUUGUGAAAGCUGCAGGGAUCCGAAGGCCUUCCUUCAUGUUGGCCGCUGUCUGUCCGUCUGUCCAGCCGGCUACUUCUCUGAGGGACGAGUGUGUGAAGCCUGCCAGUCAUCCUGCACCACCUGUUACAGCAGGUGGGAAUGCCAGUCCUGCGGCCCCCAUCAGCCCCUGCUCAGCGCUGAUAGCGGCGAGUGCCUGGCUUCCUGUCCUCUGGGUUCCUACCAGCACGACAACACACACUG
Long non-coding RNA from Notothenia coriiceps (black rockcod), 412 nucleotides. RefSeq lists it as uncharacterized. The record is from RefSeq and is a predicted model, not a curated record. The transcript has 3 exons. Lineage: Eukaryota; Metazoa; Chordata; Actinopteri; Perciformes; Nototheniidae.